UUGGUCUUAAUUUAAGUCUACAUAUGAUAAAUGUCUGCUGUAAAAGUUAGCAAAAUAAAAAUGACUACAACUAAUGUAAACUAAAAACUUUGUGUUUCUCUUUAAUUAAUUCCUUAUUCAAAUUAAAGCUGCACUGCUUAGUAGAUUGAAUGUCAAAAUGCUCAUUUAGUGAUUAAAUAGGCUUCCCGUUGUUUUCAUUAACUAAUGAAUUAUUUAUUCCAUCUGUCAUCAAACUAACGGUCACGGCACAUUUUAAAAUUUGUAAUCUGGCCUACCCAGAUAUGAAUCAUAUCUCAGGUCAUUGCACAUGAAUGUAGGUAUGUUCAGGCCUAUACUUUAGUGGCACAAUUUACUGUCUUUGAGUCCAGUGUUUUGUAUUUGCAAUGCACAACUUUACUGUUUCACUUUUCUCCUGCUGCUCUUUAGCUGUUUCCCCCAUGAGCUGGUGAAGACCAAAAAUGGAGCAAAAACUUUGAUUUAUCAGGUAGUCACAGUAUUAGCUCCUCAUGCUAGUAAUAUUUAUUAAAAGAAUCACAUAUUUAACUAAAAACAACCUUUUAAAUUGUACCCUUUUGAUCAGUUAAAAUUCAAGUCAGACUACACAGCAAUAAUAUGACCCACGAUUAACCAGCAUACUUUUAAUUAUCUUUUAUUGUCUUGUCCUGUAGCCUGGAUUUGCUCACUAUCAUUAAAGUGACCCUCUCAAGUUUAAAGUUUAGAUAUGAGUGGCUGUUUUUUUUCAUUCUUUUAUCUCUUCAUAGCGUCAGGUUUUUCCAGUCUGAGUAUUAUUUAUGGGUUCAGUUCAUUUAUAAGACGCCGUCACAUCCUGGCUUUCACCUGCCCAGAGGCUGAGACUGGCCAGCGAUGGCACUCUUCAGACACUUUAAUUGGUCCCAGUGUGCCAAAAUAGAUGCAGUAAGUCAGCGAUUCGACCCACAUCUGCUCUGCAGCUUUCAGGACAAUGCGGCCGAGAUCAGCUCUGUCUCGCCGACUGACAGAGCUGAUCUCUGCAUACUUCAGGAUGCAGCUUGUAACUGGAAUGUAUGAUUGUAGGAUAUUCAGGGGAAAUGUGUUUGCAUUGCUGCAGCUUGUGAACCCUUUAGAGCAUUUAUCUGUACCAGCCGAUAUGUUUUCAUAAGCUUUAUAGUGACGGUAGAGUGUUUGAUGAAUAAUGUGAGGUGUUAAGAUGCAAAGAGUUUAGGCUAUUAAAGAUGGGAUGUCUGCAUUCAUUGUGGCUUAUGCAUCCUAGAAACAACGGAACAAUACACAAUGCAGUGUGUGUCCCUCUUGUUUCAGGCAUUCUUGUGUCAAAUAUAAAGAUCCCAGUGUGAUGAUUUCUGUUAGCUGAUUAACUGUUGUUUCUAGUCUUACCUUGCCAACAGUCCAGAACCCAAAGAUAAUUUGCUUACAAACAUAUUUUUAAAAUAGAUAGCAAAUUUACCAUUAAAAAGGCAAAUAUUUGGCAUUCAUGCUUAAUAAAUGGCUAAAAUAAUAAAAAUACAUGCUGACUAAUUAAUCCACUGGAUCAUCAGUUAAUCAACUUCGUGAUUUUAUCUAACUUUAUGCACUUUUCAUAGAGCUUCCUAUAAGAAAGUUGUUUUGAUGUUUGAUAUGCCCACUGUUAAUUAUAUAAUUGUAUUAUUAUGAAGAGUCUUAUUUCCCAGUUACUAACUCCAUGGCUUCCAUGGUAUUUUGGUUAUAUUGAGAAUAAACGGGUAGUAAACGGGACCUACUUUGCUUUUUUCUUAUUUAGUUUUAAAUAUAUAUAGCCCCUUUUCCAUUAGUACCUACUCGUGUCGUCUCGCUACAAUUUACUGGGUUUUACAUUAGGUGGUAGUACCUGGUACCAGGUACCUACUCGCUCAGGAUUCCAAGCGAUCCUGGGCGAUCUAAAAAUGUGACAUCAACAGACUGCAUGCCACCGAUUGGCUCGUCAGUGGCGUCAGUCAUUAGAGCAUCUCCCUCAGGAAAAUCAAAACUGCCACUUUUAAAACCCGGCAACGAGGAAAAUGGCUUCAAAAAGCAACGCUGUGGUCCCAGAGUCUGGAAAAAAGCCACAGACAAAGCAGGAGGUAUAUCAUUGCCUCGAUGUCCACCUUUGUGGUUCUUAUCCUGUGAAGAUUGCUAUAUAAAUAAAUAAAGUAGGUGGUACUCGAUUGUAAUGGGGAAAAAAAUGAUUUGAGGCAAGUCGUGCUGUGUUGAGCCGAGAUGAACCGAAUAGGUACUAAUGGAAAAAGGGCUUAUGUGACAGGAAAUUCAUAUUAAAUGGAAUUCUUAUUAAAAACUUUCACACAGGAGAGAACAGUUGCCUGGUAACCACAGUUCACUAGGGAAAAAUUAGGGUUCCCCAACUAAUUGCGAGUGCUUGUCGGCAGUGGAAAUUGAUUGCUAACCCUGUUCAUGCAGUCAUACUGAUGGCCAGUUACCCCCUAAUUGGAAGGGGAAAGGGUGUAAUCUGUAACCAGUUGGUGAUUGGUUGCUGGGGGUUGCUUCUUGUUGCUAGGUUGUAAAGUAUAUGGGGCUCUACCGAAAACCUCCUUGUCAUUGCUUUGUAUCUGAGCAGAUUGCAACAUUUCAUGUUUCAUUGAAACCAGAAACCAGAAAAAUUUUCCUUCAAAGUAAAAGUUGUUGGUUUCAGUUUUAAAACUAAAGUUGCACUAGGGAUAAGGUUACAGAGUGCAGCACAACCAAAAUUAUGACAACUGUGGGCAUUGAACUUGCAGUGGCUAGUUGAAGACUGGGAAGCUACAUCCAGAUGAACAGAGUCAACUGUCUGGGCUUAUCUUACCUGGAUGACUGAAUGUGGAAGGACAGACCAAAGCAAUCGCAGAGAGGAUUUUGUUGCAGCGCCCUCUCUGCAACCGACUUCACGCAAUGAUAGCCAGCAACCUCAUCAAAUAUGUCAAGAAAUAGAUGAUUUCCCCUUGAAACCUGUCAGGGGUUGCUGACCAGUCUCUAGGCCUGUGUGACUGUGGCCUUAAAGAGAAAAUUAGGAACAGAAGAUGAACUGAGGGUUGCAUGAGGCACCUCUGUAAAAUAUUAAGUAUAUCUGAACUGUGAGCCAUCCAUAGCUACUGUAAUACGGUGCCCCAAUAAAAUCAUAGAGCUGGAAACAAGCAUAGUAGGUCCUCUUUAACAAUGUAUGUGGAAAGUGUGUUAGAAACCAGAAGCACUUAGAUUGUUUUACAUAUUGGAAAUCUGUAAUGUAAAAAUCAAUAUCUUUGCUUGUAAAACUAACCAUCAGCAUCGGUCGCCUCCCUAGAGUUCAGAGGCUCUGCCUCAUUAAGAUCGACCCAGUAUGGAAAUGGAUCAGACUGAAAUAGCUUCCUCUGGGGAGCUUACCCGUGCUGAUGACCUCUAAACAGUCACAUACUACAGUAAAAUGAUCCUUCCUGUAUGCUUUCUUUUGGAUCCUGAAAAUAUUGAACAUCUUUCAGACUGCUUUGAGAAAUGUUUUGUGUCACAGGAAAUGCAGUAUAUGUGCAGUAAUUUCAGUAAAAUAUCAGUCUUGUGCUUUAUAUUAAAAGAAUAGUAUUAAAUGUGGGGAUUUACUUCCUGGAAGGUUAGUGAGAUGAUUGGUACCAUUUUUAAUAAAGCAGCUAGUUAGCUUAAUUUAGCUAAUCUUAUAAAACUAAAAGUUGUUUUUAUUCUUUAAAUAUUUAACAAUCUUACAUUGUUAAUGUAAUUACAGUUGGGAUGCUGUGUAAAAUGUGAAUAUAGACAAAUUACAAUGAUUUGUAAAUCUCACACUGAUAUUUUAUUCACAGUACAACAGAGAAAACAUACAAAGUUUAAACUGAGAAAUGUUUGAGAAAAAUAUUCGCUUAAAUUGAAUUUGAUGGCAGCAACAUGACACAGUGCAGUGUUUACUCUGUGCAGCAUCCCCUCUGCUUUAGCAGCCUAUAAAUAUCUACGAACUGAGGAGACUAACUGUUAGACUUUUGGGAGAGUUCAUAUUUACUUCUGAGAAACAAUGCCCGUCUAUAAUGGUACAUUUUUGUCAGUUUAAACAUAUUUUUCAUAUGUAAAGAAAAUGGGAGUUUAUGAAAUUCGUGUUUUCAAACCUCGUUUUGAAGGACUUGCACGGGUUUUGUGGCUCUCUUGUUGUUUAAGUUAGCAAACAGCAGAAAAUCAUGGUUCCAGAGUUUCUGUUCUUCUUCACCUCCAAAGGCUUUUAAUCUCGCAGAGUAUCGCAAACCCCAGAAAACCUCCCCUUUUCCUGCUCAAAUAAAUGCUUCCUGCAUCCACCUGCAGAAUGUAAACCGUGUGAUAUUUAAUAGUCUUUAAAGUUGUGCACUCUCAUCUUAUUCUCACCUGCUUUAACGGUGUCAGGUUCUACCUGGUUAUCCUUGAAUAGCUGUGCUCUGAAUAAACAGACAAAUGAGAUUAUCCAGCUGGUAGCAGACAAUUUGGAGGUCGUUUAUCUAUUUAUUCAUGUGUUUGUCAGUCCAUGUGUCAUAAUGUGUAUUUGUUGUGUCUAUGAAUGGAUUUUUUUUUUUUUUUUUUUUUUAAAUUCGGCAGUAGUUAUGCUGUUUAUCAGUUUAAGAAACAUGUUUUGAGCUGCUGCCUUAGUUGUGACUGGCAGUGAGAGUACACUGGCUUGUGACCCCCCUGAGGAUGAGUGUCUCUCCUCCUGGUCUCAAAUCAGAGAUCUUUAAGGCACGGGGGAACUCUAGGCCUCAACGGCCAGUGUCCUUGAUCCAACACAGCUGAUUCAAAUGGCUAAAUGACCUCAACAUGUCUUGAUGUUCUCUAGAUGAACUAAUCAUUUGAUUCAGAUGUGUUGACCUAGGGUGAUAUCUAAAACCAGCAAGACACCGGCCCUUGAGGCCUGGAGUUCCCCCAUGCCUGCUUUAAAGUAUGACUGCUUCGCCUUAGGCUUUGAGCCUUUCUAGAGUCAAUUUGAAAGCGUGUAAACUUACUGACCUCUGCUGGUCAUAAGCAGGAAUUGCUAUUGUGAAACAAUCCAUAGGCUUUUUUUAUUUAUUUUUUUAAAUAAUAAAACAAUACAUUUUUUAAACCCUUGAACCCUAAUGUGCUGUUUUGUCACUAACAUUGGGUCUAUUUUACUUGAUAUACUGUUAAAACAUACUUAACAUCAACAGUACUCUUCUUUCUCUACGUAACCUCUGUGCAAAGUCUCAAAACAAAAUAAAGGCAUCAUGGCGGGACCCUCCAGGCUCUAAUGCAACGCAAUGAAAAUCACGUAGCUAAUAUCGCGUUGGUGAAAAUUACCCAACGUUAGUGUUCUCGGUUUGAGACAGAUGCUUUUUUUUUUUUUUAAUUAAAGUUUCAGUCUUAUUUUCUGUCAUUUGUACUAACAUUACGUUUAGUGAUCUGACUGCCUGUCUGCAUGGUAGAUUAGAUUGAUAUGAAGAUUAGAUAUAAAACAUGAAGAACGUGUUUUCAUCCAUUGGCUCCAACCUGCAUUCUUUCUACUCCUGUGCCUAUAGAAAUCAGUCAUUCUACAGACGUCUGGGACAAAAAUGUCCCUGCUUCUCAUUCGAUCUCCUGCUUCAUAAUCACAAAAUUAUCAGGAAUGAGUUCACUGGUCUGUAGUUUUGAGUCUUACUGAAUAUAAUGUGAUUUUAAAUUUUUUUUUUUAAAUUUUGGUUCCAUUUGAAGUGAAACCGACCACACAGUGAGCACUUCUCAGUCAUGUUCAACCCUUACUGGACAGCUCUGGUUUUUUUAAAAAAAAAAAAAAAAAA
Molecule: long non-coding RNA, 5711 nt
Organism: Oreochromis aureus
Lineage: Eukaryota; Metazoa; Chordata; Actinopteri; Cichliformes; Cichlidae
Exons: 2
Source: RefSeq, a predicted model, not a curated record